This is a long non-coding RNA of Ictalurus punctatus (channel catfish), 606 nucleotides long. NCBI's taxonomy places the organism in Eukaryota, Metazoa, Chordata, Actinopteri, Siluriformes, Ictaluridae. The record is from Ensembl.
UGGUGCUCUAAUCAUAAUGACACAUUUGCAUACUUCUCGCUGUGAUAAGAGUGUGAAAGUGAGGAGCAUUGUGGAGGUGGAGGUGUGGAGCAUUGUGGAGGUGGAGGUGUGGAGCAAUGUGAAGGUGGAGGUGGUGAUAUGGAGCAAUGAGGAGAUGGAUGUGUGGAGCAAUGUGGAGGUGGAGGUGGUGAUAUAGAGAAAUGUGUUGGUGGAGGUGUGGAGCAAUGUGGAGGUGGAGGUGGUGAUAUAGAGAAAUGUGGAGGUGGAGGUGUGGAGCAAUGUGGAGGUGGAGGUGGAGGUGGAGGUGGUGAUAUAGAGAAAUGUGGACGUGGAGGUAUGGGGCAAUGUGGAGGUGGAGAUGUGGAGCAAUGUAGUUGUGGAGGUAUGGGGCAAUGUGGAGGUGGAGAUGUGGAGCAAUGUAGAGGUGGAGGUGUGGGGCAAUGUGGAGGUGUGGAGCAAUGUAGAAGUGGAGGUGGAGAUGUGGAGAAAUGUGGAGGGGGGCUAAAUGCAGAUAAGCUGACACUGACCGCUGAGAAGGAACAUGAUAGAAUGCUUGCCAUAAACUCCUCAUGAAAACGAAGGACAAGCUCUUAGCAACUGGGCAAG